UUCCGGUUGAUCCUGUCGGAAACCACUGCUAUUGGGACUCGAUUAAGCCAUGCGAGUCGAGAGGGUUCGGCCCUCGGGUGACGGCUCAGUAACACGUGGAUAAUCUGCCCUUAGGUGGAGGAUAACCUCGGGAAACUGAGAAUAAUACUCCAUAGGUCUAGGAUGCUGGAAUGCACUUAGUCUGAAAACUCCGGUGCCUAAGGAUGAAUCUGCGGACUAUCAGGUUGUAGUCAGGGUAAUGACCUGACUAGCCUAUGACGGAUAUGGGUUGUGGGAGCAAUAACCCAGAGAUGAUAUCUGAGACACGAUAUCAGGCCCUACGGGGCGCAGCAGGCGCGAAAACUUCGCAAUGUGCGAAAGCACGACGAGGGAAUCCCAAGUGCUUGCACGUAAGUGUAAGCUGUUUCUCUGUUUAAAACGCAGAGAGAGUAAGGGCUGGGUAAGACGGGUGCCAGCCGCCGCGGUAAUACCUGCAGCUCAAGUGGUGGCCGUUAUUAUUGGGCCUAAAACGUCCGUAGCCCGGUUUAUUAAAUGCCU
Molecule: ribosomal RNA, 537 nt
Filed under: uncultured archaeon
Lineage: Archaea
Description: bacterial SSU rRNA
Rfam family: Archaeal small subunit ribosomal RNA
Source: RNAcentral